AUUUCACUACAAGAAAUUAGUCUUUUAGAGACUAAUAUUUAAGGACUAAUUAAAUUUAGUCCCUAAAAAUAAUCUUUUAGAGACAAAACUAAACUUGUGAUAAUUUACUUAUAAAACUAUCAAAAUGACUCUUGAUAUUUCCUGUUACGCUGUGUAACUUUUUGAGACCAAUAAUUUUGGUGGUCAACACAUAUUAUUGGCAUUUUUUAGGGACCAAAUAAUGAAAAAUUACAAAACCUCACCUGAUGCAAAUACACACUGAAAACCGUAUCCAAGCUUCACGAUGUGUAAAAACUUCUCUCUCUAUUUGUCAAGCUCCAUCGCAAGCUUCAUUGUAGGUCUUCGCUCUGUCCAUCUCGAGCUCCAUUGCAGAUCAGUUUGAGAUCUACAAUCUUCAGUAGAUCUACCUUGUUCUUCACAUUUUCUGUAGAUUUGAUUUCUGCUACUUUGAAGACAUCGAUUGGUUAAUUCACUCUCUAUCAAGACCCAAAGGUUUCUAAUGGCCCCUUGUACAGUCUUAUAUCAUUUGAAUCAUCACCCCAUAUUGACAAAGACAACAAAUGGUAUAUCAGUGUUGAGGAAUGGCCACAUCAGUCAUACCCACCAUGGGCCCAUGGUCCAGGUUAUAUAAUUUCCAAAGGGAUGUCCAAAGGGUGUCACACCUAAGUACAGCUUGAAGCCUCUUGUGUCAAGCCUGUCUGAUAUAAAGCCUGAUAUUGAUGUUGAGAAAAUGCUUUUUUAGAUAUUUUCUUUGUAGAAACUAUUGUAUUGUUGCUAUUCUUCAUUUGAACUGUUACUACUUUGAUCUGAAUUUGGAAACUUUUAGUUUUAAUUUUUGUCAAAUUUACUUUCUAUAUACUCAUUAUGGUUUGGGAAUAGAGUGGGUUUGAUAUGUGGAUGUCAAA
Non-coding RNA from Camellia sinensis, 905 nucleotides. The record is from RefSeq and is a predicted model, not a curated record. NCBI's taxonomy places the organism in Eukaryota, Viridiplantae, Streptophyta, Magnoliopsida, Ericales, Theaceae.